GGCUAUUGUAUUUCUGCAUAGCUCUUACAAAACCAAGGAAUGGGUGUGGCCAUUACUUGAGAUGAAAAACGACGCAAGUUACUAGACUGGGAGAAGCACUUCAACAUCAUCUUAGGGAUCGAUGGACGCCUUCUGUAUCUUCACCAAGAUUUGAGGUUGCUGCAACUCCCAUGGCAAUUUCACUAGUGAAAUCUGCAAAGAAGGGAAAGAGGCAUCCAGAGGAGUCCUAUUGAGAAGCAAUUUGCUGCCAAAAAGCUGAAGAGAGAAGUAGAUGAAACAGUCGAGAAGCAGAAGAGUGGCAAGAAGUCAAAAGCUUCUUUUGAGGUGACACCAAAGAAGAAGCCUGAAACCAGCAGUUCUGAGGAUGUAUCUUCGUUUGAGUAAGAAACAGAGGUUUGCUCGAUUGAAGCAGAUUGUGUUUUCCUUUAUGCCAAAGUAGAUGUUCUAUGCUUGGGGGCUUUUUGAUGAGGGAAAGAAAAUGUUCAGUAGUAUUUUUCUCUCACUAUUGGGUUUGCCCUGCAAAUACAAUAACUUAGCAACAACUUGUGAUUUUGUGGUUUGUGGCAUGAAACAGACAUUGUAUUUGAUUGAAUGAAUGAAUGACUGACUAUAUACAGAUU
Long non-coding RNA from Magnolia sinica, 620 nucleotides. RefSeq lists it as uncharacterized. Lineage: Eukaryota; Viridiplantae; Streptophyta; Magnoliopsida; Magnoliales; Magnoliaceae. The transcript has 4 exons. The record is from RefSeq and is a predicted model, not a curated record.